CGAGAGGACCGGGAUGGACGCACCGCUGGUGUACCAGUUGUCUUGCCAAAGGCAUAGCUGGGUAGCUACGUGCGGACGGGAUAAGUGCUGAAAGCAUCUAAGCAUGAAGCCCCCCUCAAGAUGAGAUUUCCCAUGGCGCAAGCUAGUAAGAUCCCUGAAAGAUGAUCAGGUUGAUAGGUCAGAGGUGGAAGCGUGGCGACAUGUGGAGCUGACUGAUACUAAUAGAUCGAGGACUUAACCAAC
This 243-nucleotide ribosomal RNA is filed under the name Peribacillus simplex. RNAcentral's name for it is "Bacillus simplex partial 23S ribosomal RNA". It matches the Rfam family "Bacterial large subunit ribosomal RNA", at positions 2684 to 2925 of the family's 2925-position model. Lineage: Bacteria; Bacillati; Bacillota; Bacilli; Caryophanales; Bacillaceae. The record is from RNAcentral.